CCUGUAAGCUGAAGCUUGAUUUGAAACAGCCUCUCAGAUGCUAACAUAUCUUCUUUCCACAGGUCUUUGAUUUCGAGCUAUCCACAGAAGAUAUGAAAGCAAUUGAUGGACUCAAUCGAAAUUUGCGAUACUUGGAACUGCCAGUGUAUGUUUACUUAGUACUUUGGUGGAAAAAUACAAAUGAUUAAAAAGCAUAUGUUUUUAUGUCUGUAGAAGAAAAACAGAGAAAUCAGACAGGCAAUUAGACAGGUCUCUGAAAAGCAAGCUGUACUGUAAUGAUAGGUGCCCAAAUAGGUGCUACUGUAAAAUGGCCAAUAUGUUCUAAGGUGGGAGUAUCUGUAUUAUUUUUUUAUGUUCUAUAUCAGCAUCCCAAAAAUUAUUUAAAUCGUUUAGAUAACCAUGUGAUAUAGAAAUAAAAAUGGUUUAAGGGUUCCUUAUAAAUAAAAUAAGAUAAUAAAUAAGAUAAUAGGGUUCAUAAUAAAUAAGAUGCCAAUUAAUUGCAAUAUUUUCACUUAAUACAUACUGUAUCUUUUAUAGUACAUGAUUUGUAGGGUUAGAACUUGGGUUCUUUUGAUCUUAAGACAGCAGCAGGACAUACAUUACAUUAAAUUCCAAUGCAGCAGCUACUUUUCCUAGAUACUGCCAUUAUCCAUACAUAAUGAUAUGAUGGGAGAAGAGAUGGGGAGAGAAAAUCAUGCAAGAAAAAGAACCCUGACUAUAAUUGUAUUUAUUUUUUAAUUAAAAAAGAUAUGUGCACAUUACAUUUUAUUAGGGUGUGCAUCCAGUCAUUUUUGUAAUAACAUUUGAAUUAUUAAUUCAUUAUUAAAUACUUUAAAGGGACACUCCUCCAUCCAAAUAUAAACAUUUUUUUUAAAUCUCUGUGUAAUAGAUAUGCCCUCAUUAAAAAACAUACAUGCAUUUUUGUUUUAAUUGGGGGAAUAUCUAAAAACAGCUUGUAAAAAGCAGCAGAUCUCUGGUCCGAGGUCUUCUUAUCCAGUUCAGUCUUUCUGUGGCUGUCCAAUCACAAACUUCCCAAUGCAGCUCAAUGAUAAGUCUUUGCAAGGCAGGUGAUCUAGGCAAUGGCCUGCAUCUAGUAUAUAGCUCCACUGAGCUAACCAAACCAGGAAGUAGCAAUAACAGUUGUAAGAUUGAUUAAUGCUUUUUUUUUCCUCUUUCUGUUUCUGAAGGUUUGGAUCGCAUCCCCAGUAUCCCUUCUUUGACGAAUACUAAAUUACAACACAUAUUGUAAUAUAUGAUAUUGAAAUGAUCUUGAAAUAAGUCAUAAUCGUUGGUGCUGGAAAGGACAAAAAUGCUAUUCUAUUCAAUUUGGAUAUAUAUUUUUUUUUUAAUUCAAAAAUUGUUUUAAUAAAUGUCUUCACUCUGUGUAUAUCUUUUUUAUUUUAUGGGACAAAAUUGUUUCUAAAUUUACAUAACAAUAAAAAUUUAUAGUUAAGUACAAUUCAUUUAAAAUUACAAUACAACAAAAAUAGCAUAUAAGAUAAAGACAGCAGGAAAUGAUACAAAAGAGUGACCUGAAAACACCUUACAACCAAUUAUAUGAAAAGAUAUCAAGAAACAUAUCAAGAAAAUAUUAAAGGACCACUAUAGGCACCCAGACCACUUCAGCUUAAUGAAGUGGUCUGGGUGCCAGGUCCAGAUAGCAUUAACCCUUUUUUUUUAUAAACAUAGCAGUUUCAGAGAAACUGCUAUGUUUACACUGAGGGUUAAUCCAGCCUCUAAAGCCUCUAGUGGCUGUCUCAUUGACAGCUGCUAGAGGCGCUUGCGUACUUCUCACAGUGAAAAUCACAGUGAGAAGACGCCAGCGUCCAUAGGAAAGCAUUAUGAAUGCUUUCCUAUGAGACUGGCUGAAUGUGCGCGCGGCUCCUGCCGCGCAUGCCCAUUCAGCCGAUGACGUCGAUAGGAAGGAGAGGAGGAAAGCUCCCCGACCAGCGCUGGAGAAAGGUAAGUGUUUAACCCCUUCCUCUCCCCAGAGCCCGGCGGGAGGAGGACCCUGAGGGUGGGGGCACCCUCAGGGCACUAUAGUGCCAGGAAAACGAGUAUGUGUUUCUGGCACUAUAGUGGUCCUUUAAGCUGACAAAAGGCUGGAUAAUCUUUGCAGACUUAGUGUUGACUCGGCUUACUGAAUAGUAAUUUUCCCAAAAACUUAAAUGGAGGAAAUGCUAUUCAUUUCAGCAGGGUCAGAUUAACAUAGGAGCUAAUGGAGCUGUAAUCCAGGCCCACGCCCAUGUAAUAGACCAAUUGAUCCUAAAUAAAUAAAUUAAUAUUUUUUUUUCUGCUUUACUACUCUUCAUCCGUAUGCUCUUGCUCUAAAACGUUGUGCAGAGUGAACUGAGUAUCUGAACUUUGUAGCGAUGCACGAGCGCAGGCAGAGCCGGAUUAACAGAGGGGCUAUAGAAAAGGCCCAUUGAGAUAAAAAAAAAAAAAGAUAUGCUCUUGCUUUGUGCAGAGGGAAUUGAGUAUGGAAACUUAGAAUGGAUGUAUGGGAACAAAGCUGAGUGUCUUUUUAUAAAUUAGUUAAGAUAAAGCUGACUUUGCACACUGUGCAAAUGCUCUUGCUAAUUUGGUUUCUCUAACAGAGUGGGAUAUUCCCUUUCUUCGACACUCAAUACAUCCACCAUUUUCUCUGCCCCAGACUGCAUACCAGGAGCUUCUGCCUGCUACCAAGAAGGGAAGGAGAGGAGAGGACAAGUGAGUGCUGGGAACACCAGAGAGUUAAUCCCAGAAAGCAUAGAGUGAGUUUAUCAUUAGAGGCAUUCAUGCCAAGCUCAUGGUUCUGAGACACAGCUGUCUGCAUAACAAGCCCUUAGUUAUGGGGGAUGCUGCUUGUGGUAUUGCCUGUGUGGGGGAGGUUGCUUGUGAUGUUUUAUCUUUGCGGGGAUACUGCUUGUUAGGUUGCAUAUAUAGCCGCUUGAGCGUUGCAUGUGUGUGAAUAGAGGCUGCUUGUCGUGCUGAUUGUUUCUGGGUAUUCUGCUUGUGGAGUUGUAUAUGUAUGAGGAGACACUGCUUGUUUAAUUGCGGGUUGUGGGGAGGAUGGUGCUUAUAGUUGUGUGUGUGAAUGUGGCUGUUUGCAGUAUAGUAUGUGUGUGUGCAUGUGUAUAGGAGCUGUAGAGUGUGUGUUUAGGGGGGAUAAGGUCUGUAGUGAGUAUUUACGGGAUAAGGGUUGAGGGGUGUGUUUGGAGGGGAUAGGGGCCUUAGUGUGUUUUUGUGGGGGAUAUGAGUUGCAGGGUGUGAUUGGGGGGAUAGAAUUGUUGUGUGUUUUUUGGUGGAAAAGAGGCUAUAGUGGGGAGAAUUUGGGUUGUAGUGUGUCUUUAGUGGGAGGAAAUUGGGUCUGCAUUAUGUUUGUGUAUGGGAGGCGAAAAUGGCAGCUGUACUGUGGGUGGAUUUGGGCUAUUGUGUGUGGGGGGGAGUAAUUAGUGCUGUUGUGAGUAACCCAUGUGAGUGUUCAUGGGACAGCCAAAUCCAUGGGCCACUCUGCUGCAUGAGAAUGGACUGGCCGGUUAAGAUCUUUAAAGUUCCCACUAGCUAUAGCGCCUCUCUCUUGCCUGUCACCCCAAGGUUGUGGUCUUGUGCGAAAGUCCUUGGUAUAUCAUUCUGCAAGAUUGGCAGCCAGCCCGAUGUGCAUUCACGCUGGGCUGACCAUCUAAUUCUUUGUGCAGACAUCCCCCCUUUUUGGGCAUGUAUGUCCCUUUGGUCGGUUCUGGUUGCGUGAUUUACAUCAGUGGCCCACCCUAUUACUCUGCCUUUUGAAAUGGAUUUACUUAAAAGAUGAAAGCAAGAGAUUAGCAUAGGUUAUGUGCUAUAUCCUGUGAGUUUCCUUUCAGCACCACCUGCACCAGAUACAUGACGCGUGGGAGGUAUAACUGUUUUAGUGUUUUCUGUCGAUAAGUUUCUGUAAAUAGGCCCAUCAGAAUUGUCUGCACCAGGCCCAAUGAGCUCUUAAUCAUGCCCUGGCAACGCAUACAGCGUGGAGCCAUUAACACAUGCCCUAAUCAAAUGAUACCUGCUGUUCCCAAUUAGUAGCAGGGAAGCAGUCCUUUAAAAUUGUGUCUGGAGGAUAAUUCCAUAAAUGAUCAGGAAAGAGCUAAAAAGAUAAAAUUAAUUUAAAAAUACAAUAAAAUAGUAAAUAUGAUGAAAAAUAUAAAAAUAAAAGAAGAA
Molecule: long non-coding RNA, 4176 nt
Filed under: Pelobates cultripes (western spadefoot toad)
Lineage: Eukaryota; Metazoa; Chordata; Amphibia; Anura; Pelobatidae
Source: RNAcentral